Molecule: ribosomal RNA, 442 nt
Filed under: uncultured bacterium
Lineage: Bacteria
Description: partial 16S ribosomal RNA
Rfam family: Bacterial small subunit ribosomal RNA
Source: RNAcentral
CCUACGGGAGGCAGCAGUGGGGAAUAUUGGGCAAUGGGCGCAAGCCUGACCCAGCAACGCCGCGUGAAGGAAGAAGGCUUUCGGGUUGUACACUUCUUUUAAGGGGGAAGAGCAGAAGACGGUACCCCUUGAAUAAGCCACGGCUAACUACGUGCAAGCAGCCGCGGUAAUACGGAGGUGGCAAGCGUUGUCCGGAUUUACUGGGUGUAAAGGGCGUGCAGCCGGAGAGACAAGUCAGAUGUGAAAUCCACGGGCUCAACCCGUGAACUGCAUUUGAAACUGUUUCCCUUGAGUGUCGGAGAGGUGAUCGGAAUUCCUGGUGUAGCGGUGAAAUGUGUAGAUAUAAGGAAGAACACCAGUGGCGAAGGCGGAUUACUGGACGAUAACUGACGGUGAGGCGCGAAAGCGUGGGGAGCAAACAGGAUUAGAUACCCCUGUAGUC